AGCGAACGCUGGCGGCAGGCUUAACACAUGCAAGUCGAGCGCCCGUAGCAAUACGGGAGCGGCAGACGGGUGAGUAACGCGUGGGAACAUGCCCUUCGGUUCGGAAUAACCCAGGGAAACGUUAGGGCUAAUACCGAAUACGUCCGUGAGGAGAAAGAUUUAUCGCCGAAGGAUUGGCCCGCGUCGGAUUAGCUAGUUGGUGAGGUAACGGCUCACCAAGGCGAUGAUCCGUAGCUGGUCUGAGAGGACGAUCAGCCACACUGGACUGAGACACGGCCCAGACUCCUACGGGAGGCAGCAGUGGGGAAUAUUGGACAAUGGGCGCAAGCCUGAUCCAGCCAUGCCGCGUGAGUGAUGAAGGCCUUA
This 366-nucleotide ribosomal RNA is filed under the name uncultured bacterium. RNAcentral describes it as "bacterial SSU rRNA". It matches the Rfam family "Bacterial small subunit ribosomal RNA", at positions 29 to 419 of the family's 1533-position model. The record is from RNAcentral.